UUAAAUUCAUUUUCUUUCCACUUAUGUAUAGCCAACUAGUACCAAGGCAUUCUGACGCACUCCUGGAAAUUGCUCAUUUCCCUUCUUGCUUCUCCGUCUCCAAGGCUUGUCUCAAAAAAGGGCCAGAUUCUUCCCUGGUUAAGGAGAGUCACAGGCUUCAGCACCCAGGAGUCAGCUCUUGCUCCAAGGAGGACUUCCUUCUUCUGAGGAGCUUGUUGUUGACUCCAUAGCUUGGUUUCUUCAUGUUUUGGCAGAGCCUUCUGAGGAUGGUGAGUUAUGAAGUUUUCUCCAUUUUGUGGUUCUGCAGGUACCAGUGCCCCUGGUAACCAGCCUGCGGUACUACACUAUCCUUUGUACUUUCCACACCCUUGAAAGUACAAGUACUUAAUGAAAUUCUCCCCAAGUAUACAACUCGACUGUGCCAUCUCUUUCCUACCUGGACUCUGACCAAGAUCCUGAGAAGGCAUUGGUUAAAAGAUACUACAGAUUUACAUAGCAAAAUAUUUGUUUAGAAUUUUUUUUAAAAACUUGUGUGUUUCCUACAUCUUUUUUAUUCAGUUAGUUUAACUUAAAAUGUGUACACAUGAAGGGACAGCGUGCUCAACAGAAGUUUGGCAAAGGUGAGCGUUUACUUUCAAUAGUCAAUUAAUUUGGUGAACAUUUAUUUGGUUUCUUCGCUGUUUCAGGCCCUGAGCAAAAAUCUCCAAUGGUAAAGUGAACAUGACCUGCACUCAGCUGUAAGUCUUAUAGAGAUAAGGUCUCAGAAAGGUGGAGUUUUUUUUUUUUUUUCAGCAACAUUCAAGUAUAUAAUAGUUAUUGAAAUAAAAAUAAUGACUAGAAUUAUUCA
RNAcentral lists this long non-coding RNA (847 nucleotides) under Ursus maritimus (polar bear). Its description in RNAcentral is "lncRNA (ENSUMAG00000010203.1)". Lineage: Eukaryota; Metazoa; Chordata; Mammalia; Carnivora; Ursidae. The record is from RNAcentral.